Molecule: ribosomal RNA, 253 nt
Filed under: uncultured bacterium
Lineage: Bacteria
Description: partial 16S ribosomal RNA
Rfam family: Bacterial small subunit ribosomal RNA
Source: RNAcentral
UACGUAGGGCGCAAGCGUUGUCCGGAAUUAUUGGGCGUAAAGAGCUCGUAGGCGGCCUGUUGCGUCCGCUGUGAAAUCCCGGGGCUCAACCCCGGGCCUGCAGUGGAUACGGGCUGGCUGGAGGCAGGCAGGGGAGACUGGAAUUCCUGGUGUAGCGGUGAAAUGCGCAGAUAUCAGGAGGAACACCGGUGGCGAAGGCGGGUCUCUGGGCCGAUACUGACGCUGAGGAGCGAAAGCGUGGGGAGCGAACAGG